UACAGAGACUGCAAGCGUUAUUCGGAUUCACUGGGCGUAAAGGGUGCGCAGGCGGCCGUGUGUGUGAGGCGUGAAAGCCCGGGGCUUAACCCCGGAAUUGCACCUCAAACUACAUGGCUAGAGCAUUGGAGAGGGUAGCAGAAUUCAUGGUGUAGCAGUGAAAUGCGUAGAUAUCAGGAGGAACACCGGUGGCGAAGGCGCCACUCUGGGCCACGACUGACGCUGAGGAGCGAAAGCAUGGGUAGCAAACAGG
Molecule: ribosomal RNA, 253 nt
Filed under: uncultured bacterium
Lineage: Bacteria
Description: partial 16S ribosomal RNA
Rfam family: Bacterial small subunit ribosomal RNA
Source: RNAcentral